RNAcentral lists this ribosomal RNA (366 nucleotides) under Triticum aestivum (bread wheat). RNAcentral's name for it is "partial small subunit ribosomal RNA". The record is from RNAcentral. Lineage: Eukaryota; Viridiplantae; Streptophyta; Magnoliopsida; Poales; Poaceae.
AUGGAACAGCUACAGAAAGGAGAUGAUGGACAGAUGGAGGGCUCCAUCGCAAACGCAUUGUUCGCAGAAUGGACAGUGCAGCAACAAUACAACACAACCGAUAAAGCCAUACUUCCCGCAGAAUUUGCAAACAUCGUGCUCGGUGUUAAAAUUGGAGAAAAAGGAGGACUAGAAGAAUUCAAUGAGGACGAAGCAUUGAAACAGUUUGCACCCCUUGUAACAGGGAAGGAACUUUUAAAGAAAAAGCUGAUUAUGAUACCUCACAACACAGCUAAACACUACACACUGUACGUGCUCAACAAGUACACGAGUUCAAUUUCCACAUCAUUAUCGUUGCUAGGGUGGCCUUCAGGAUACAAAGAUUAA